GGGAUAUUAGCUCAGUUGGUUCAGAGCACCGCCUUGACAGGGCGGGGGUCAGUGGUUCGAAUCCACUAUAUCCCACAA
This 78-nucleotide transfer RNA is filed under the name Bacteroidota bacterium. RNAcentral's name for it is "Bacteroidetes bacterium tRNA-Val". It matches the Rfam family "tRNA". Rfam says of the family: Transfer RNA (tRNA) molecules are approximately 80 nucleotides in length. Their secondary structure includes four short double-helical elements and three loops (D, anti-codon, and T loops). Lineage: Bacteria; Pseudomonadati; Bacteroidota. The record is from RNAcentral.